This 358-nucleotide ribosomal RNA is filed under the name Eukaryota sp. RNAcentral's name for it is "SSU rRNA". It matches the Rfam family "Eukaryotic small subunit ribosomal RNA", at positions 1325 to 1699 of the family's 1831-position model. The record is from RNAcentral.
UCGAUAACGAACGAGACCUCUACCUGCUAAAUAGUUCAGGAAACUCUUUUACGGGUUUCCUUGUGACUUCUUAGAGGGACUAUCUGUGUGUAGCGGAUGGAAGUUGGAGGCAAUAACAGGUCUGUGAUGCCCUUAGAUGUUCUGGGCCGCACGCGCGCUACACUGACUGGUGCAUCGAGUUUACAACCUUGACCGGUAGGUCUGGGUAAUCUUUGAAAGCCAGUCGUGCUGGGGAUAGAUUAUUGUAAUUAUUAAUCUUCAACGAGGAAUUCCUAGUAAAUGCAAGUCAUCAACUUGCGUUGAUUACGUCCCUGCCCUUUGUACACACCGCCCGUCGCUAAUACCGAUUGAAUGGAUC